Molecule: transfer RNA, 73 nt
Filed under: Felis catus (domestic cat)
Lineage: Eukaryota; Metazoa; Chordata; Mammalia; Carnivora; Felidae
Also listed under: 2 other names
Rfam family: tRNA
About the family: Transfer RNA (tRNA) molecules are approximately 80 nucleotides in length.
Source: Rfam by way of RNAcentral
GCCUGGCUGGCUCAGUCAGUGGAGCAUGAGACUCUUGAUCUCAGGGUUGUGAGUUCAAGCCCCACAUUGGGUG